This 1520-nucleotide long non-coding RNA is filed under the name Coffea arabica (coffee). RNAcentral's name for it is "long non-coding RNA (CARA_LNC004688)". The record is from RNAcentral. Lineage: Eukaryota; Viridiplantae; Streptophyta; Magnoliopsida; Gentianales; Rubiaceae.
GUACUUCUCGUCUCCUGCGCUGCCCAUCUCCAAAGGGUCAAGAGGGUUCUCAAAUCGACCACGGAGGCGGUGGGGGUAGACGCAGAUGAGGAGGUGGAGGAGAGGAGGAGGAGGGAUGGAGUGAUUUUUCCUUGGAUUGGAUGAUUGUCGAGGACAGAUUGGGCAAGAUAUAUGCCAUCCCAGGAGUUCCCGAGUAAGUAGCAAUUUGUGUUCUUCUUCUAUUUGGCAGAAUUUGUGUUUUUCUUUAGAGACUAUAAUACCCUUGAUAUUUGGUCGCGCGUCUCACGAGAUGAUGCUUCCUGUCAAUUUUAACUGGUGGAUUUGACAGAAGGGCAAAAAAUAUGCUAUUUUAUUAAAUCGAGGGCCAAACUUUUACCGUUAAUUGUUGGAGGGUUAAAACUUUAUUUGGGAAAGAGUUGGAGGGCCAUUGGGUCUCUUUUCCCAAUUUUCUAUUUAAACAUUUAUGAAGAAAGCAAAAAAUUCAAAAUGGGGAGAGGUACAAGUCAACCAUUCAGGAGGGUAAAGUGUUUUGUAGCUUUCGGAUAUGAGUAAUAUAAUCACCUAGAGAAGGUAAUCAACUUGGGAUUUAAGGACAAGCAGCCCAUACAUCCAAAUUAUAAUGAGUGGCUAGAAAUUGUCCAAAACUGAGGAAGAAGUUAGGGAUUGUAAUGCUCCCAUUUUCCUCUAUGAACAUUAAUUUAGUUGUCACGGAUAAGCUCGCCAUCAGUAGGGAUUUAAAAUCCCUUCUGGACUAUAUAUCGAGGAUGCGAAUCUUGCAUUUUUGAAUCUCAAAAAAAUCUAGAGGAUGUGCUGAUACGCCUGACACAUUCUUUGGUUUAAAAUGAGCUUUCUCUCUAAUUUUUUAUACAAUCUAGUUGGCAUCCCUUUAGUAUAUGAUAGUAUAUAUGUUUCAAUUAAUUUGAGGAAAAAAAAUCAUAUUUUACAUCCUUUAAGUUUUUAUUCAAAUAAUGUCAUAAAAAAUCCCGAUAUUCCGGUGACAGAUUUAAUUCAGAACCUAGCUGAGGCUAUUAACUUUAACCAAAAUAACCAAUCUACCCAUAUUGCAUCAUGCAUACAUGCAUUCUUCACGUGCAAGAGACAUAGAAUAACUAAAUUUAUCAUUUCAGUUCUCCUUUUGUUAAUUCUUUAGCAAUAUAGAAUAUACACUGUUUAUGUGUGAACGACGACUUUAACAAUUGUGAUAAGCACAUUCAUACUUUCACAUCCUACUAGUUUUGUGAGAUUACGUAUGGUUGCCCAGAUUUUGAUCUAAAACUACUGCUAUAUAAUGGGCAAUGUGUUACUGCGGCAAGUAGGCCACCAAAGCCAAACGCUCCACCACCAGCCAAGGGUGAUCCUGCACACUAGUCUGUUGCUUAAGCAGCUUAACGAGGAAUGGCCCUGGCCCUAUCUAUCCUUGUCAACUUGUAGGUAUUUGUAGACAAUGGAAUUUUAAUUCAUUUUUAAAAAAUUACCAUUGGUCUAUAAAUUAUUUCAAUGAUUUAUUUAUAUUCAAUUGG